UGACUGCGUACCUUUUGUAUAAUGGGUCAGCGACUUACAUUUAGUAGCGAGGUUAAGCGAAUAGCGGAGCCGUAGGGAAACCGAGUGUUAACUGCGCGUAUAGUUGCUAGGUGUAGACCCGAAACCCGGUGAUCUAGCCAUGGGCAGGUUGAAGGUUGAGUAACAUCAACUGGAGGACCGAACCGACUAAUGUUGAAAAAUUAGCGGAUGACUUGUGGCUGGGGGUGAAAGGCCAAUCAAACCGGGAGAUAUCUGGUUCUCCUCGAAAGCUAUUUAGGUAGCGCCUCGGACGAACACCUUUGGGGGUAGAGCACUGUUAAGGCUAGGGGGUCAUCCCGACUUACCAACCCUUUGCAAACUCCGAAUACCAAAGAGUGCUAUCCGGGAGACAGACGGCGGGUGCUAACGUCCGUCGUCAAAAGGGAAACAACCCAGACCGUCAGCUAAGGUCCCAAAGUAAUUGCUAAGUGGGAAACGAUGUGGGAAGGCUUAGACAGCUAGGAUGUUGCUUAGAAGCAGCCAUCAUUUAAAGAAAGCGUAAUAGCUCACUAGUCGAGUCGGCCUGCGCGGAAGAUGUAACGGGGCUAAGCAAUUCACCGAAGCUACGGGUACUGAUGCUUGCAUCAGUGCGGUAGAGGAGCGUUCUGUAAGCCGUUGAAGGCGAAGGGGUAACCCACGCUGGAGGUAUCAGAAGUGCGAAUGCUGACAUGAGUAACGAUAAAGGGGGUGAAAAACCCCCUCGCCGAAAGACCAAGGGUUCCUGUCCAACGUUAAUCGGGGCAGGGUGAGUCGACCCCUAAGGCGAGGCUGAAAGGCGUAGUCGAUGGGAAACGGGUUAAUAUUCCCGUACUUCUGCUAACUGCGAUGGAGAGACGGAGAAGGCUAGGCCGGCGCGGCGUUGGUAGUCCGCGUUUAAGGUAGUAGGUGGUGUGCUUAGGCAAAUCCGGGCACACAUACACUGAGAGCUGACGACGAGUCCCCAAGGGGAUGAAGUGGUUGAUGCCAUGCUUCCAGGAAAAUCUUCUAAGCUUCAGGUUAGCAGGAAUCGUACCCCAAACCGACACAGGUGGUCGGGUAGAGAAUACCAAGGCGCUUGAGAGAACUCGGCUGAAGGAACUAGGCAAAAUGGUACCGUAACUUCGGGAGAAGGUACGCUCCUGUUGGUGAUGAGACUUGCUCUCUGAGCUGACGGGAGUCGCAGAUACCAGGUGGCUGCAACUGUUUAUCAAAAACACAGCACUGUGCAAAAUCGCAAGAUGACGUAUACGGUGUGACGCCUGCCCGGUGCCGGAAGGUUAAUUGAUUGGGUUAUCUUCGGAGAAGCUCAUGAUCGAAGCCCCGGUAAACGGCGGCCGUAACUAUAACGGUCCUAAGGUAGCGAAAUUCCUUGUCGGGUAAGUUCCGACCUGCACGAAUGGCGUAAUGAUGGCCACGCUGUCUCCAGCCGAGACUCAGUGAAGUUGAAAUUGCGGUGAAGAUGCCGUAUACCCGCGGCUAGACGGAAAGACCCCGUGAACCUUUACUAUAGCUUGGCACUGAACAUUGACCCUACAUGUGUAGGAUAGGUGGGAGACUAUGAAGAUGAGACGCCAGUCUUGUUGGAGUCAACCUUGAAAUACCACCCUUGUAGUGUUGAUGUUCUAACCUGGGCCCUAAUCGGGGUUAGGGACAGUGCCUGGUGGGUAGUUUGACUGGGGCGGUCUCCUCCCAAAGAGUAACGGAGGAGCACGAAGGUUGGCUAAGUACGGUCGGACAUCGUACGGUUAGUGUAAUGGCAUAAGCCAGCUUAACUGCGAGACAGACACGUCGAGCAGGUGCGAAAGCAGGUCAUAGUGAUCCGGUGGUUCUGAAUGGAAGGGCCAUCGCUCAACGGAUAAAAGGUACUCCGGGGAUAACAGGCUGAUACCGCCCAAGAGUUCAUAUCGACGGCGGUGUUUGGCACCUCGAUGUCGGCUCAUCACAUCCUGGGGCUGAAGUCGGUCCCAAGGGUAUGGCUGUUCGCCAUUUAAAGUGGUACGCGAGCUGGGUUCAGAACGUCGUGAGACAGUUCGGUCCCUAUCUGCCGUGGGCGUUGGAUGAUUGAGGGGAGCUGCUCCUAGUACGAGAGGACCGGAGUGGACGAACCGCUGGUGUUCGGGUUGUCAUGCCAAUGGCAUUGCCCGGUAGCUACGUUCGGAAUCGAUAACCGCUGAAAGCAUCUAAGCGGGAAGCGAGCCCCAAGAUGAGUCAUCCCUAGGGCCUAGAGCCCUCUGAAGAGCCGUUCGAGACCAGGACGUUGA
RNAcentral lists this ribosomal RNA (2279 nucleotides) under Shewanella sp. JCM 19057. RNAcentral's name for it is "bacterial LSU rRNA". It matches the Rfam family "Bacterial large subunit ribosomal RNA", at positions 594 to 2856 of the family's 2925-position model. Lineage: Bacteria; Pseudomonadati; Pseudomonadota; Gammaproteobacteria; Alteromonadales; Shewanellaceae. The record is from RNAcentral.